AGAGCGAACGCUGGCGGCAGGCCUAACACAUGCAAGUCGAGCGCCCCGCAAGGGGAGCGGCAGACGGGAGAGUAACACGUGGGAACAUGCCCUUCAGUCCGGAACAACCCAGGGAAACUUGGGCUAAUACCGGAUACGUCCGUAAGGAGAAAGAUUUAUCGCUGAAGGAUUGGCCCGCGUCUGAUUAGCUAGUUGGUGAGGUAACGGCUCACCAAGGCGACGAUCAGUAGCUGGUCUGAGAGGAUGAUCAGCCUCACUGGGACUGAGACACGGUCCAGACUCCUACGGGAGGCAGCAGUGGGAAUAUUGGACAAUGGGCGCAAGCCUGAUCCAGCCAUGCCGCGUGGGUGAUGAAGGCCCUAGGGUUGUAAAGCCCUUUCGGCGGGGUAAGAUAAUGACGGUACCCGCGAGAAGAACGCCCCGGCUAACUUCGUGCCAGCAGCCGC
Molecule: ribosomal RNA, 446 nt
Filed under: uncultured bacterium
Lineage: Bacteria
Description: SSU rRNA
Rfam family: Bacterial small subunit ribosomal RNA
Source: RNAcentral